Molecule: ribosomal RNA, 433 nt
Filed under: uncultured bacterium
Lineage: Bacteria
Description: partial 16S ribosomal RNA
Rfam family: Bacterial small subunit ribosomal RNA
Source: RNAcentral
AACGAACGCUGGCGGCAUGCCUAACACAUGCAAGUCGAACGAGACCUUCGGGUCUAGUGGCGCACGGGUGCGUAACGCGUGGGAACCUGCCCUUAGGUUCGGAAUAACUCCCCGAAAGGGGUGCUAAUACCGGAUAAUGUCUUCGGACCAAAGAUUUAUCGCCUUUGGAUGGGCCCGCGUUGGAUUAGCUAGUUGGUAGGGUAAAAGCCUACCAAGGCGACGAUCCAUAGCUGGUCUGAGAGGAUGAUCAGCCACACUGGGACUGAGACACGGCCCAGACUCCGACGGGAGGCAGCAGUGGGGAAUAUUGGACAAUGGGGGAAAGCCUGAUCCAGCAAUGCCGCGUGAGUGAUGAAGGCCUUAGGGUUGUAAAGCUCUUUUACCCGGGAUGAUAAUGACAGUACCGGGAGAAUAAGCACCGGCUAACUCCGUG